AUAGUUAUGUGUAUAUAACAGAUUAAAGAAUGCUGCUGAUAUUAUUGUCAACCAUAUAUUACAUAUAAAGUAAAACAUAACUAAUGACGCUUUCCAGAGGUGGAAUCUUCUAGUUCUUCCUAUUUGACCCGAAACCGAUCGAUCUAGCCAUGAGCAGGUUGAAGAGAGCUCUAACAGGCCUUGGAGGACCGAGCUCUAAUGUUUUUUUUGUUGGGACCACCAGAUUGAUGAAUUUUAAUAUUAACAUUAGCAAAAGAUGAUAAAACAUUCUUCUUCAAAUCAAAGUGAAAUAAGUAGCUUUCGUUUGCAAGAGUUCUUGGAAAUCAAAACUACCUGAUUUACAAGAAUUCUUUUUUUUCGCUUAAAUAUAGAUUUACACAAUUAACUUAAAAUUCCAGACCUCAAAAACAGAGUGAAGGGUUGUCAAAAAUUUAGCAAUAAACGGGAUGUGUUUGGACUGAAAAAGAUUUUAUAAAGUAUUAUUUAAUGACUUCAAUUCUUUAGAAUGUCAUUCAGGUUAUUUGUGAAUAUAGCAACACAUAAUGUUUACCAAUAGGAUUCAUAUAAACAUGCGAAGAAUAGAGAAGACAAAGCAGCUGCACAGGCUGCCGCCCAAGCUGCUGAAGCCGAAGCUGCUUGUGAUACUGCAACAGCAAUGAAGAAGUCAAAGAAGUGGAAUAUGCCACAGAAGCCUGAUUUAAGAAGUUGCUUGGAUAGGAAUCCCACGUAAAUAAAAAUCAAGUCAGUGUUUGGUUAAGAACCUCAAUUUGAAAAUGCUACAUUUUCUCAUAUCUAGACAAAUUUAGACUUUGAUUUAGUAAAAUAUUGCUACAUAAUCUAAUAACUAGACACAUUUUACAAUACUGCUAUGUUUUGUAGUAGUAUUUUAUUGAAUAUUCUGCUUUAACAGUCAAUAUUAUUGUCAACAAUAUAUAAAAUGAACUAAAACAUAACUAAUACAAGUAAUGAAUCAAGAUAUACAAAAUAAAAUUUGGUUUAUAGAAUAAAUUUGACAUACCUUUGAAUUGAGACUUAGUUUAUUUAUAUACCUUUGAAUUGAGACUUAGUUUAUUUAUGUUUCAAAAGAAUUCAAACUCUAGAGAUAGAUAAAUGUUAGACUUGAUCAAUCGCAAUAAAAAUUAAAGAUUUGGGUAUGUAGGAAAAAGUAAAAUAUAUUUAAUAUGUUAAAGAAGAAUACAACGACAGAUCACACAAAAUCAUUAUUUCAAUCUUCCAUGAUAUGAUAAACAUUAUUCUUCUGACAUAAGAACCAUUCGUUUGCAAGAGUUAUUAGAAAAUCAAAACUACAAAAUUUACAAGAAUUUUUUUUUCUAAUUAGAUAUAGAUCUACACAAUUAACUUUAAAUUUCAGACCUCAAAAAUAAAAAAUAAAAACAUUUUGAUCUAUAAUUCAACUAAUCAAGAUGUCAAAAAUUAGAACUUUUAGAGGAACACAACAAAACUCUAAUCAAAAUUCCACAAUUCAAUAGAUCAAACAUCAGAACUUUAAAAAAAAUGGAAAAAAAGAGGAAAAAUUAACAUUGAAUUAUAUCAAGAAAGAGAUUAAAAAUUAAAAAUCGAGACAUACCUUGUAUUCUUUUAGAAUUAAGAACUUAGAUCUAUUGUGGCUUAAGUUGUCACAAGAUCAUAUCACUAGUCUACGUACUGAGAUAAAAUUGAAUACUAUAGUCAAAGAAAUAAGUUUUUACAUAUAUGUGUUGGAAAUAAUGUGAUAUAUUUCUCAUAUGAGGUUUUGUAGUACCAGCAUUGAAGAUUCUAAUGUAUUCAAAACAUCUAACAAAACUCAUCACAGCUCGUAGCAACAUUUCCACUUCUAUAUACCACACACAAGAAACAUAACCAUGUCAUUGUUCAUUAAAGCAAAUGGAAUGGCCAAAAUUGAAGCCAUCGGUAUAAUCAAUGCAUACUAAAAAAAAAAA
Solanum lycopersicum (tomato) is the source of this 1940-nucleotide non-coding RNA. NCBI's taxonomy places the organism in Eukaryota, Viridiplantae, Streptophyta, Magnoliopsida, Solanales, Solanaceae. The record is from RefSeq and is a predicted model, not a curated record.